CCUACGGGGGGCAGCAGUGGGGGAUAUUGCACAAUGGGGGGAACCCUGAUGCAGCGACGCCGCGUGGGUGAAGGAGCGUUUCGGCGCGUAAAGCCCUAUCGGCAGGGAAGAAGGAGGACGGUACCUGACUAAGAAGCCCCGGCAAACUACGUGCCAGCAGCCGCGGUAAUACGUAGGGGGCAAGCGUUAUCCGGAUUUACUGGGGGUAACGGGGUCGCAGACGGCUGCGCAAGCCAGGAGUGAACGCCCGGGGCCCAACCCCGGGACUGCUCUUGGAACUGCGCGGCUGGAGUGCAGGAGGGGCAGGCGGAAUGCCUGGUGUAGCGGUGAAAUGCGUAGAUAUCACACAGAACACCGAUUGCGAAGGCAUCUCACGGAUCCGCGAUUGACGCUGAUGCACGAAAGCGUGGGUAUCAAACAGGAUUAGAUACCCCGGUAGUC
This 441-nucleotide ribosomal RNA is filed under the name uncultured bacterium. Its description in RNAcentral is "partial 16S ribosomal RNA". It matches the Rfam family "Bacterial small subunit ribosomal RNA", at positions 338 to 795 of the family's 1533-position model. The record is from RNAcentral.